Molecule: ribosomal RNA, 118 nt
Filed under: Salix viminalis (osier)
Lineage: Eukaryota; Viridiplantae; Streptophyta; Magnoliopsida; Malpighiales; Salicaceae
Source: RNAcentral
AGGUCCGGUCAUAUGAGCACUAAUGCACUACAUCCCAUCAAACUCCAAAGUUAAACCUGCUUGGGCGAGAGUAGUACUACGAUGGGUGACCUCUUGGGAAGUCCUCGUGUUACAUCUC